GGUGCUCACAGCUUUUGUUUAAGGAAGAUAAAGCUGAAGUCUUGGCAUCUGUAAGAGACUAGGUAUAAAGGUCAGUGGGGAUUUCUACCGUGCUUUUGUGGGAUAUCCCCUCAACCUUUGGAUACCAGCAACUGUCUUCUCCCCUGGACCUGACGCAGGCAUCUCAGGAGAGAAGCUGAGAAUGGAAAGGAGGAUUUCAAAAACCUUCUUCAAAGCUCGGUCUAAUGCUGCUGCUGGUACCUCUUCCCUCCCUCCCUCUACCCAAAGUGGAAGAGACAGUUAGGAAAAUGCAGAGGACUGCAUGGCACGCACCAUCAUUCACAUGAAACUCAAAUUAAAUUAAAAAAUGCAAGACGUCUGCCCUCUCCGAAGUCAACCCAGGAUCCCCCCCCACCCCAGCUCCCUGGAUUCCUCGGAAACCCCAGACUCGGCCCUUAGAGGCUAUGGGGCUAUUUUUUAAAUGAAAAGGUUCUUCGGUGGGGUCCUGUGGAGAAACGUGCCCAUCCAUCCAUCCGUCCGUCAGUCCGUCCAUCCGCCCAUCACACAAAACGGAUGUGCUCGGGGCAGAACCCAAGAGAGGGAAACACACCACCAAUGUUCAAAGGAUUCAUAACAAACAAUGAAGUUCAAAUUCAGAGGUAACGCGGGCUUGGCAAUCAAGCAUGAAUGUCGGUGGAAGUCACUAGAUAUGAUGAGCUCAUUUAGUUUUUAAAUCUGCAAGGUAAUGGUCUGUGUGGGGCCAUUACAGCAAAGGAACAAUUUUGAGUAUUUCACGUAAACGUCUCUUCUCGGUCUCUUUUUUCUCACACAUGCACGUGCGCGUGCACACACACACACACACACACACACAAAUGCCCCUCAUUUCUAGGAAACGAACUGCAGCUUCCCUACACCCUCCAAGGAGUAAACAGUGUCCUUCCCAAAGAACUGUUUCAUCCUACUUUCUCCACUGACCCUAAGUAACUGAGGAGUCUGGAAGCUCCAAAGAACAGACUCCCAGACCUUUAUGUACACGUGCCACCACCUCCAGGAUCUCUCACCCUCAUGGUCCCUUCCAAGACUCACAACACACAGCGUAAGAGAACCAGUGCUCAGCCCCAGGCAGACACAAUUCUAGCGCCCAAGGAAGCAGAAGAACCAAAGCCACAGACCCAAGCAGAGGGAGCACCUAGAAAAAGGGUGGCUGUCAUGCCAUUUCACUGACAGUCACUGAAGGCUGGUUUGGAGGCCAGGGUGCUACCAGGUGUGUCAAUCUACCUGGCGGCGCCGCAUGAGUGGAACUUCCCGUCUGUCCCUAACCAACCAGCCUCAUCGAGAAGACAGCAUGAAAUCCACAGAGGCUUCCAGGUCCACUGUGACCACAGGCAGUUUACCAAAGGCAGCAGGAUCUGUCCUGACCCAUUGUGGAAUGCAAACCUGAGGCCUGUGACCAUGGGGUCCCCAGAACUGAGCAGAUAUCACCAUCUUGGCCUUAGCUUUGAAUCUUCCUACUCAGGUGCUCCAACUGUGGGGCCUUCGACCAGGAGAUCCUCACGGCAGAUCAAAGAAACCUAUUCAGCAGCACAUAUAUUAAAAUAAAGCUGGAGCUACAA
Long non-coding RNA from Canis lupus familiaris (dog), 1592 nucleotides. RefSeq lists it as uncharacterized. The record is from RefSeq and is a predicted model, not a curated record. NCBI's taxonomy places the organism in Eukaryota, Metazoa, Chordata, Mammalia, Carnivora, Canidae. The transcript has 2 exons.